Small nuclear RNA from Prolemur simus (greater bamboo lemur), 104 nucleotides. NCBI's taxonomy places the organism in Eukaryota, Metazoa, Chordata, Mammalia, Primates, Lemuridae. The record is from Ensembl.
GUGCUCGGUUCAGCAGUACAUAUACUAAAAUUGGAAUGAUAUGAAGAUUAGCAUGGCCCCUGCACAAGGAUGACAUGCAAAUUAGUGAAGGAUUCCAUAUAAAA